Molecule: ribosomal RNA, 550 nt
Filed under: uncultured archaeon
Lineage: Archaea
Description: bacterial SSU rRNA
Rfam family: Archaeal small subunit ribosomal RNA
Source: RNAcentral
ACGGGGUGCAGCAGGCGCGAAAACUUUACAAUGCGGGAAACCGUGAUAAGGGGACCCCGAGUGCCUGUACACGCAGGCUGUUCAGGUGUUUAAAACGCAUCUGGAGAAAGGGCCGGGCAAGACCGGUGCCAGCCGCCGCGGUAAUACCGGCGGCUCGAGUGGUGGCCACUAUUACUGGGCUUAAAGCGUCCGUAGCCGGGUUGUCAAGUCUCCUGGGAAAUCCAACGGCUCAACCGUUGGGCGUUCAGGGGAUACUGGCAAUCUAGGGAUCGGGGGAGGUGAGAGGUACUCUAGGGGUAGGAGUGAAAUCCUGUAAUCCUUGGGGGACCACCUGUGGCGAAGGCGUCUCACCAGAACGACUCCGACGGUGAGGGACGAAAGCUGGGGGAGCAAACCGGAUUAGAUACCCGGGUAGUCCCAGCUGUAAACGAUGCGCGUUAGGUGUAUCGGUGACUACGAGUCACCGAGGUGCCGAAGGGAAACCGUGAAACGUGCCGCCUGGGAAGUACGGUCGCAAGGCUGAAACUUAAAGGAAUUGGCGGGGGAGCAC